Molecule: long non-coding RNA, 2748 nt
Organism: Gopherus evgoodei (Goodes thornscrub tortoise)
Lineage: Eukaryota; Metazoa; Chordata; Testudines; Testudinidae
Source: Ensembl
AUGGCCAUCAUCUUCCACAACCAGGGAGUCAUGGACAGAGCCCGCCGCGACCACAAUGACUUUCUGAAGAAGUCGGUGAGUGAUGGCAGAACGUUUCCCUCCUCUGAGAAGCUUGUAGUGCAGCGCAGGCAGUUGCUGGAGUGGUGCCGAAAGGAAAUGCUGCCGAAGACAGAGUCCCCACUGAAUGCAGAGCUGAUGAAGGACAAAGAGGCCCUGCUGAGGGAGCUGGAGGCAGAGCUGAUGUGGAUGGCUGAGUCCUUCAAGGCAACUAAUGAGAAGCACAAGAAGAUGGUGCUGAGAGUGGUCUACGCAGCUGCUCGUGCUGGGGUCUUCGCAGCUGCUGAUGCAGCUAGGGUCGUCAUAGCUGCUCAUGCUAGGGUCGUCGCAGCUGCUGAUGCUGGGCUCGUCGCAGCUGCUGAUGCUGGGCUCGUCGCAGCUGCUGGUGCUGCUAGGGUCGUCAUAGCUGCUCGUGCUGGGGUCGUUGCAGCUGCUGAUGCUUGGUUCGUCGCAGCUGCUGGUGCUGGGGUCGUCGCAGCUGCUGGUGCUGGGGUCGUCGCAGCUGCUGGUGCUGGGGUCGUCGCAGCUGCUGGUGCUGCUGGGGUCGUCGCAGCUGCUCAUGUUAGGGUCGUUGCUGGUGCUGGGGUCAUCGCAGCUGGUGGUACUGGGGUUGCAGCUGCUGGUGCUGGGCUCAUCAUAGCUGCUGAUGCUGGGCUCAUCGCAGCUGCUGGUACUGGGCUUGUCAUAGCUGCUGGUGCUGGGCUCGUCGCAGCUGUUGGUGCUAGGCUUUUCGCAGCUGCUCGUGCAGGAGUCGUCGCACCUGCUCGUGCAGGAGUCGUCGCACCUGCUCGUGCAAGAGUCGUCACAUCUGCUGGUGCUGGGCUCGUCGCACCUGCUCGUGCAAGAGUCGUCGCACCUGUUGGUGCUGGGGUCAUUGCACCUGCUCGUGCAGAGGUCGUCGCACCUGCUCGUGCAGGAGUCGUCGCACCUGCUGGUGCUGGGGUCAUCACAGCUGCUGGUGCUAGGGUCGUUGCAGCUCUUGGUGCUGGGGUCACCGCGGCUACUCGUGCAGGAGUCGUCGCAGCUGCUGGUGCUGGGGUCAGCACGGCUGCUCAUGCUGGAGUCACCGCGGCUACUCGUGCUAGGCUCAUCAUAGCUGUCAGUGUGGGAGUCGUCGUAGCUGUCUGGGCUAUUUUCAUCAAGUGUAACUGAGGGAACAGCUAUUGCUGCUGGUGCGGGCGGCAUAGCUGGGAUCUGGUCAGGCUUGGGUGAGGGGGAGAGGGACUCUAACCCCGAUAGCAAAGUUCGUUGUCUAACUGCGAGAGAGACAGGCAACACCAGCAAGGUCCGAUUGAAAGCUCUUCAUUGACAAGUGCACGCAUCAAUAGAGAGCAGCUCGUCUCCAGAGAGAACCAGCCUGCUCUUUACAUCUUAGUAUAAGCCUAUAUAGACAGUUCCAUCGCCAUCAUAAAUUAUUCACUGGAGCAACCCACCCCCUUCUUCUAACAACUAGAAACUAGACACCUUUAGUAUACAUGCAUGCCUAAAGUUAGAAAUGUAGGGGAGUUAAAAACAAGCAACGAACAAAACCAGGGAGUGAAAACAAGGAGGCUGGGAAACUAGGGCUCUUAUCAGUUCUUCGAAGGAGCUGCCCGAACACAGCACAUCUGGUACUAUGCCAGGAAUGCAGCUUCUCUUAUCUCAUUUUUUCCCAGCGCUUGUGAGACAUGCUGCUGCUUUUCAGUGUUUUCCACUCAGGGAUUACCCACAAACCUCUGUUAGCCUGACUUUGGUCAGGUUGGCAUACCUGGUUUUGUCUGCAAUAUCUUUAUUCAGGCCUAACAUCCACAAACCACCCCAGAGCGGGGGAGUCGUCACCCACAGAUUCUAAGAAGGGACAUUGGUCCAACCCGCUCUUGAAAACCUCCAAUCCCUGUGUGACACCCAGGCCCAGCGCCACCCGCCGGUGGAGGGUUCAGUGCCCAGUGUCAGCAACACCUAACAGGCCUGACAAACUUGCCGCACCUAACACACCGCUGUCACGGUAUUUAGCCAGUCCCUUCCAGUUCUAUGCGAUAGGUAUAUCUCCAUACGUUGUUAUAAACAGGUGUAAUCCUUCUUAGGCUUGCCCAGAAAUUACAGGCUAUUUGUACGCAAUACAGCCAGAUGGCUGCCCCACUGACCAAAAACAAACAGCCAAAUGCAGUUCAGUGGACUGAUGAGUUGUCAUAAACAGAUAGCUAAGGGUUAAUGUCUCUUUCACCUGUAAAGGGUUAACAAACAGUGAACCUGCAACACCUGACCAGAGGACCAAUCAGGAGACAAGAUACUUUAAAAUCUCGGUGGAGGGAAGUCUCUGUUUUGUGGCUUUUGGGUUUGUACUUUGUUCUCUCUGGGUCCUGGAUGGGACUAGAGGUGCAACCAGGUUUCUGCCAAUCUCCCUGCUACAGUCUCUUAUCUAUUCAGAAUUGUGAGUAAGAAAAGGCAGUCAUAGUCUUUUAAUUUGUUUUUUUUCAUUUACAUAUGUGUACUUGCUGGAAGUAGCUUAAAUUGUGUUUCUGCUGGAGAAAGUUUCUUUCUAUUGUUUAUAAGUUGAAAGACACUGUAACUAUUUACCAUCUAAAGUGCAGAGAUAAACCUUUUACUUUUUUCCUUCUUUUUUUAUUAAAAGCUUUGCUUUAAGACCUGUCUGAUUUUUUUCUCCUAGUUAAGGCUCAAAGGACUUGAGUCUGUGUACUCACCAGGGAAUUG